UACGAAGGGGGCUAGCGUUGUUCGGAAUUACUGGGCGUAAGGGCGCGUAGGCGGCGUGUCAAGUCAGGCGUGAAAGCCCCGGGCUCAACCUGGGAACCGCGCUUGAGACUGGCAUGCUCGAGUUCGGGAGAGGAUGGUGGAAUUCCCAGUGUAGAGGUGAAAUUCGUAGAUAUUGGGAAGAACACCGAUGGCGAAGGCAGCCAUCUGGACCGACACUGACGCUGAGGCGCGAAAGCGUGGGGAGCAAACAGG
This 252-nucleotide ribosomal RNA is filed under the name uncultured bacterium. RNAcentral describes it as "partial 16S ribosomal RNA". It matches the Rfam family "Bacterial small subunit ribosomal RNA", at positions 524 to 776 of the family's 1533-position model. The record is from RNAcentral.